GACCAAUGUUAUGUGUCCAGCUCGGAGGACGGCUCGUUGUGAUUAAGAUUAGGUUGUAGCUAAUUGUCUACCUUGCUACGCUGAGACAUGAUGUUGGAGUCCAGUUGUUAUCACAGACACAAAGGAGUCUUCUUGAUUAAGAAGGAGGCAGUCCGGAGUUGUGAAGUUAUUCUUCUUAAGAGACAGAAGAGACUUCUGUCUUGCUGGCUGAUACUGAGGUCUCAUCAUCAACCGCACCACCCAUUCCAACUGUAGAGAGCAUGCAGUUACGGAACUGAAAAGGAGAAAACAUGCAGAGCUUUAGCGUUGGCACAGAUGUUUCAUCUUUCAUAUUUACCUGGACCAGCCAGCCAGUGGAGGGGCGGCACAAGCGAAAGCCAUGAUCCAGGUGAAAACAACUCCAGCUCCUGCGUGAGUUCCGGUGAACUUGAAGCUUCCCAUGGGUUUGCAGAC
Sebastes umbrosus (honeycomb rockfish) is the source of this 453-nucleotide long non-coding RNA. RefSeq lists it as uncharacterized. The transcript is spliced from 3 exons. Lineage: Eukaryota; Metazoa; Chordata; Actinopteri; Perciformes; Sebastidae. The record is from RefSeq and is a predicted model, not a curated record.